AGUGAACGCUGGCGGUAGGCCCAACACAUGCAAGUCGAACGGCAGCACAGUAAGAGCUUGCUCUUACGGGUGGCGAGUGGCGGACGGGUGAGGAAUACAUCGGAAUCUACUUUUUCGUGGGGGAUAACGUAGGGAAACUUACGCUAAUACCGCAUACGACCUACGGGUGAAAGCAGGGGAUCUUCGGACCUUGCGCGAUUGAAUGAGCCGAUGUCGGAUUAGCUAGUUGGCGGGGUAAAGGCCCACCAAGGCGACGAUCCGUAGCUGGUCUGAGAGGAUGAUCCGCCACACUGGAACUGAGACACGGUCCAGACUCCUACGGGAGGCAGGAGUGGGGAAUAUUGGACAAUGGGCGCAAGCCUGAUCCAGCCAUACCGCGUGGGUGAAGAAGGCCUUCGGGUUGUUAAGCCCUUUUGUUGGGAAAGAAAAGCAGCAGGUUAAUACCCCGCUGUUCUGACGGUACCCAAAGAAUAAGCACCGGCUAACUUCGUG
RNAcentral lists this ribosomal RNA (492 nucleotides) under uncultured bacterium. RNAcentral's name for it is "partial 16S ribosomal RNA". It matches the Rfam family "Bacterial small subunit ribosomal RNA", at positions 29 to 507 of the family's 1533-position model. The record is from RNAcentral.